UAAUACGAAGGAUGCAAGCGUUAUCCGGAAUUAUUGGGUUUAAAGGGUGCGUAGGCGGACUAAUAAGUCAGUGGUGAAAGCCUGCAGCUUAACUGCAGAAUUGCCGUUGAUACUGUUAGUCUUGAGUACAGUUGAGGUAGGCGGAAUGUGUCAUGUAGCGGUGAAAUGCUUAGAUAUGACACAGAACACCGAUUGCGAAGGCAGCUUGCUAAGCUGUAACUGACGCUGAGGCACGAAAGCGUGGGGAGCAAACAGG
Molecule: ribosomal RNA, 256 nt
Filed under: uncultured bacterium
Lineage: Bacteria
Description: partial 16S ribosomal RNA
Rfam family: Bacterial small subunit ribosomal RNA
Source: RNAcentral